This 385-nucleotide long non-coding RNA is filed under the name Gallus gallus (chicken). Lineage: Eukaryota; Metazoa; Chordata; Aves; Galliformes; Phasianidae. The record is from RNAcentral.
CAGGAAGACCUCGCUGCCUUCCCUCCUCCCUUUGAUGGUGUGCUCGUCGUUGAUCAGACAGUCUAUCUCCUCAUACUUCAGCCCCGGGGCUUUGUUGAAGCCUCCCACGACGGGAGGAGCCUUCUGCUGCUCUUGGGGCGAUGCUUCCUCGCUCUGCUUGCCCACAUCCCGUGCGGGGCCGUUGCUGGCGGCGGCCGCGCGGCGCUCGGGGCCAGCCGGGCUGCGGGGGAACGGGCCGGAGCCAUCCGAGGAGCAUCUGUUCCACAGCAGCACCGUCACCAGCGUGAAGAGAGCGCAGAUGAUGAUCAGAGUCUUGUAGUUGACCCGAGCUGCCAAGCAACGCAUAUUCACACCAUACCUGCGGGCCGGGCCCUGGCUGCCGGCG